Transfer RNA from Camelus ferus (Wild Bactrian camel), 72 nucleotides. It matches the Rfam family "tRNA". Rfam says of the family: Transfer RNA (tRNA) molecules are approximately 80 nucleotides in length. Their secondary structure includes four short double-helical elements and three loops (D, anti-codon, and T loops). The record is from Rfam. NCBI's taxonomy places the organism in Eukaryota, Metazoa, Chordata, Mammalia, Artiodactyla, Camelidae.
GGGGGUAUAGCUCAGUGGUAGAGCACAUGCUUAGCAGACAUGAGGUUCUGGGUUUAAUCCCCCAUGCCUCCA